Molecule: ribosomal RNA, 492 nt
Filed under: uncultured bacterium
Lineage: Bacteria
Description: partial 16S ribosomal RNA
Rfam family: Bacterial small subunit ribosomal RNA
Source: RNAcentral
AGUGAACGCUGGCGGUAGGCCUAACACAUGCCAGUCGAACGGCAGCACAGUAAGAGCUUGCUCUUACGGGUGGCGAGUGGCGGACGGGUGAGGAAUACAUCGGAAUCUACUUUUUCGUGGGGGAUAACGUAGGGAAACUUACGCUAAUACCGCAUACGACCUACGGGUGAAAGCAGGGGAUCUUCGGACCUUGCGCGAUUGAAUGAGCCGAUGUCGGAUUAGCUAGUUGGCGGGGUAAAGGCCCACCAAGGCGACGAUCCGUAGCUGGUCUGAGAGGAUGAUCACCAACACUGGAACUGAGACACGGUCCAGACUCCUCAGGGAGGCAGCAGUGGGGAAUAUUGGACAAUGGGCGCAAGCCUGAUCCAGCCAUACCGCGUGGGUGAAGAAGGCCUUCGGGUUGUAAAGCCCUUUUGUUGGGAAAGAAAAGCAGAAGGUUAAUACCCCGCUGUUCUGACGGUACCCAAAGAAUAAGCACCGGCUAACUUCGUG